This 798-nucleotide ribosomal RNA is filed under the name uncultured Glomus. RNAcentral describes it as "SSU rRNA". It matches the Rfam family "Eukaryotic small subunit ribosomal RNA", at positions 314 to 1114 of the family's 1831-position model. The record is from RNAcentral. Lineage: Eukaryota; Fungi; Glomeromycota; Glomeromycetes; Glomerales; Glomeraceae.
AUCAACUUUCGAUGGUAGGAUAGAGGCCUACCAUGGUGGUAACGGGUAACGGGGUGUUAGGGCACGACACCGGAGAGGGAGCCUGAGAAACGGCUACCACAUCCAAGGAUGGCAGCAGGCGCGCAAAUUACCCAAUCCCGACACGGGGAGGUAGUGACAAUAAAUAACAAUACGGGGUUCUUUCGGAUUUCGUAAUUGGAAUGAGUACAAUUUAAAUCUCUUAACGAGGAACAAUUGGAGGGCAAGUCUGGUGCCAGCAGCCGCGGUAAUUCCAGCUCCAAUAGCGUAUAUUAAAGUUGUUGCAGUUAAAAAGCUCGUAGUUGAAUUUCGGGAUCAAAUUGUCGGUCGUGCCUCGGUACGUACUGGCAUUAUUGGUUCCUCCCUUCUGAAGAACCGCGAUGUCAUUAAUUUGGUGUCGCGGGGAAUCAGGACUGUUACUUUGAAAAAAUUAGAGUGUUUGAAGCAGGCUCGCGCUUGAAUACAUUAGCAUGGAAUAAUGAAAUAGGACGUUUGAUUCUAUUUUGUUGGUUUCUAGGAUCGACGUAAUGAUUAAUAGGGAUAGUUGGGGGCAUUAGUAUUCAAUUGUCAGAGGUGAAAUUCUUGGAUCUAUUGAAGACUAACUACUGCGAAAGCAUUUGCCAAGGAUGUUUUCAUUAAUCAAGAACGAAAGUUAGGGGAUCGAAGACGAUCAGAUACCGUCGUAGUCUUAACCAUAAACUAUGCCGACUAGGGAUCGGAUGAUGUUAAUUUUUUAAUGACUCAUUCGGCGCCUUACGGGAAACCAAAGUGUUUGGGUUC